AGUAGCUUGCUAAAUUGGUUAAAUGGCUGGAAGACGAUGGAUGGUGUCAAGCUGACCAAGAAAAAGAUGAACAUCUUCUGGGAAUAUACCACCAUAUGUGGCCAGUUACAUGCGCUCCGAGUUCUAGCUUGAGUACCUAUAUGAAACCAUAAUUAACACAGGGAGUGCGCGCCCUGUGAGUUUAAUCACUUGUCUUGAGAGUUGAGGCCCUAAAAAGGAUGGUAGAACUUUGUAAAGGGGGAAAGGCAAGUGCCAACAAGCAGCACCAUUAUCUCUAAAAGUCAUUGUCCUUACUGAGAAAGAUGUAUGAUUUGAUCCAAAAAGCCCCUCUUUGUAAGUUGGUUCUCCAUUUAAUUCUCAUGGGAGGGAAUUUUGAAGCUAGAAGAUUCAAGCUGAAGGUUAUUGGUUCUUACAAAAGAGUACGUUAGUCUCAUGAAUGUGUCGCUCAUCCAAUACACCUAAUCAUACAAGAUAGAGAGUUAAAACGCAGUACAAGGACUGCCAAAGAAAUCAUCUAUGCUAGUAGUACCUCGUCCAG
Molecule: long non-coding RNA, 538 nt
Organism: Asparagus officinalis (garden asparagus)
Lineage: Eukaryota; Viridiplantae; Streptophyta; Magnoliopsida; Asparagales; Asparagaceae
Exons: 3
Source: RefSeq, a predicted model, not a curated record